AUGACUUGUGAAUUGUGGAGCCCAUGGGUAAACAGACUAGAGACCGCAAUCUCUUCCUCAGAGGAAUUUCCAACGGUACUAACAGUGGUAGCUGGUGAAACAGAAACCAUCCCUAUUGGACAACUCUUCCAGCUUCCAGGCCCAGAUGGAAAUCACUGGCAUCAGGAAGAACUGAAAUCCCCAGCUGAGAUAAAGCAAAAGACUUCCAGGCAGAAGAAAUCAGAAUCGGACCUACUGGUGCUACCAUCUGUUCCUCUGCACUGACCUUAGAGCUUGUGGCUCCUGUGAAACUGGGGAAUUGUCCAGCUGUGAGUUUCUGUUUUACUGGGAUUGAAUUCCCAUCAAUGUCCUUGACUUCCAGGCUUUGACCAUCAUCUUAUGAUGGUCGCCUCUAUCAGACAUCUCUGCUGUUUGCUUUAUAAUGUGUAUUUAUUAACAAUAAUAAAGUUAAUUCAACUGAGUCUAACUAUGAUCAUUUGAUGAUAUUUUGGGGGAUUGGUUUGGAUACAAACAAGCAUGCCCAAGUCAGGAUUUCAGAUCAGGGACUACAGGGCUUCCUUCUAUUCCAGAUGGCCUGCCCUGGGUGGCACUAGUGGUAAAGAACCUGCCUGCCGAGGUAGAUGACCUAAGAGACUCAGGUUCGAUUCCUGGGUUGGGAAGAUCCCCUGGAGGAAGGCAUGGUUAGCCACUCCAGUAAUCUUACCUAGAGAAUCCCAUGGAGAAAGGAGCCUGGCAGGCUACUGUCCUUAGGGUCUCAAAGAAUUGGACAUGACUGAAGCUGGUUUCAAAUAGGAAGAGGAGUACGUCAAGGCUGUAUAUGGUCACCCUGCUUAUUUAACUUAUAUG
Molecule: long non-coding RNA, 846 nt
Filed under: Capra hircus (goat)
Lineage: Eukaryota; Metazoa; Chordata; Mammalia; Artiodactyla; Bovidae
Description: lncRNA (ENSCHIG00010007652.1)
Source: RNAcentral